This is a long non-coding RNA of Xyrauchen texanus (razorback sucker), 1016 nucleotides long. RefSeq lists it as uncharacterized. NCBI's taxonomy places the organism in Eukaryota, Metazoa, Chordata, Actinopteri, Cypriniformes, Catostomidae. The transcript is spliced from 3 exons. The record is from RefSeq and is a predicted model, not a curated record.
CAUGGUUUUGUUCUCAGGUAAACAAUUUGUAAAUUGUUCAUAGUUUGAUUUUUCAAUGUUUAAAAGUUAUAUUUAAAUAUACAUUUAAAUUUAAUUAAUUUGAAUGUAUAAUGUAAGCUAUACAGAUUUAAAGAUAAUUCCAAAAAGAUAUGCAUUAUUUAUACAUAAAUUCAGACUAAAUCAAUGGUCUGCUCAGUCUACAGCUGUGACCUUAGGAAUAAGUUCAUGAAUCCACGUCUUUCUACAAACACGGGAGGUGAAUUAUUAUUCUGAUUUGGCCCAAAAGCUACUUGCAGUGGUUAUUGUUUUUAAGGUCCACUUGAAUCAUUACUUUCCAGUGUGUUUUCCCCAUAGACUGUAAAACAGUUUAUAAGAUAGAAAUAACUCUAAUUUUAAUUAAACUCCAGUACAAUAGGUGGCGGCAUGCAUUUAGUGUGCUGCCCGCCAGUAAACCCAUUUGAUGAACAGGAAGUUGUAGGGCCAUAUCCGCCUAUGAUAUGCACACAUCACGGCAGGCAGACGAGUUGCUGGAAGACUGCGGUCCCUGGUGUCAUAGUUUACUUCCUGGAGGAGGAUGCUUUAGCAAUUUCAGCAUUGGACUUGUUCCCAUCCUUUUUGGUCGCCUCUCCUGCACUUGCUGUUUGGAAGUCAUUGCUUGCAUCUGAUUCAGGACCUGUCAUUCUGCAUUUCUGUUUUCAUUCGCUUUGCUUACAUUUUGAACCCUUAGCAAUAAUAAACGUUUUCUAUUUGGGCUAUAGUUGUACAUUCAAGUUUGUUUUUUCUUAAUUGAAUGUGUUUGUGUGGAUAUGCAACAAUUAUUUAUUUUAUAGUACUUCAUUGAUGGAAAUUUGCAAAGAUUCUGAAUUAAAAAAACACAUUAACAUUGUUCUUAAUUUUUAUUGUCAUUGUUUUAAUCAGUUAAUCUAUAACUGCACAAUGGUGGUGCACUAUUGCCUGAUUUUGUGUGCAUUGUGAUUUAGAUUAUGCAACACAUUAAAUUGACCCUAAUUAAGUCA